AUACAUCUGACGAGUCCCAAAUGAGACGAAACGCAUGUCAUGGAG
Non-coding RNA from Schistosoma mattheei, 45 nucleotides. NCBI's taxonomy places the organism in Eukaryota, Metazoa, Platyhelminthes, Trematoda, Strigeidida, Schistosomatidae. The record is from Rfam.